This 197-nucleotide ribosomal RNA is filed under the name uncultured bacterium. RNAcentral describes it as "partial 16S ribosomal RNA". It matches the Rfam family "Bacterial small subunit ribosomal RNA", at positions 328 to 539 of the family's 1533-position model. The record is from RNAcentral.
ACGCUCGACACCUACGGGGGCAGCAGUGGGGAAUAUUGCACAAUGGGGGAAACCCUGAUGCAGCGACGCCGCGUGAAGGAAGAAGUAUCUCGGUAUGUAAACUUCUAUCAGCAGGGAAGAAAGUGACGGUACCUGACUAAGAAGCCCCGGCUAACUACGUACCAGCAGCCGCGGUAAUCUGAGCGGGCUGGCAAGGC